Molecule: long non-coding RNA, 376 nt
Filed under: Physeter macrocephalus (sperm whale)
Lineage: Eukaryota; Metazoa; Chordata; Mammalia; Artiodactyla; Physeteridae
Description: Physeter catodon (sperm whale) lncRNA (ENSPCTG00005013326.1)
Source: RNAcentral
GGCCAUCCUUCCUCCCGCCUGGAUCCGGUCACCCGGCCAUAAAGUCGCCCCAUAUGGCCAGGGGCGGCCCCACACCCGGGUGCGAACUGCCGCCGGGGGCCCCGAGCCUCGCGUGCAGGCACUUUGUCUUGAAGUCUCCAAGUCUCACGCAUCAUUCUGCAGAGUGGCAUGCUCUUGGUUUGAGGAAUAAACUGGGCCUCCAGUCCAUAUCUCAGUAUGAACGGUCCCAGCCUAGACCAGUGCCCAGCGGGCACAAUGAACACGCAGAUAGUGGGGAACUGAAUAUGACUGACUCAGAUUGAAAGGAGCUUCUCUUCCACCUGCAGACAAAGUCCCAGUUGAAUAAACGGAUCCAGCCAGCACACUCAGGUGGCUC